GUAUAUAUAAUUUAAACAAAAUACUAGGCCGUGACCCUAAUAAUGAAAGUUUAACCCUUUCUAUAAACC
RNAcentral lists this transfer RNA (69 nucleotides) under Plethodon cinereus (red-backed salamander). Its description in RNAcentral is "tRNA-His". It matches the Rfam family "tRNA". Rfam says of the family: Transfer RNA (tRNA) molecules are approximately 80 nucleotides in length. Their secondary structure includes four short double-helical elements and three loops (D, anti-codon, and T loops). RNAcentral also lists the same sequence under 1 other name. The record is from RNAcentral. Lineage: Eukaryota; Metazoa; Chordata; Amphibia; Caudata; Plethodontidae.